GUUGGCUGGGAUUGGCUCCAGCAGACCCCUGUGACCCUGUAGUUAGGAUAUAGCGGGUUGGAUAAUAGUAGGACGGAUGCAGUGUAGGUGCCAUGGAGGAAGGAAAGGCAUCCUAGGCACGGUAAACUGAGAAUUCAUACCCGGACAGGAGGCCAUAAUGGAUGGACUGGGCAAACAGGCAUACCGGGAGCAGUUCAUUCCCCCACACGACAGGUGGCAGUGUUCCUCAGGGCCAAUUAGGACACACCAAGAGGGUAGUAUGGGAAUUGGAGUCCUAUUGGGGGCUUUGUGGACCAGCAGAGGGUGCUGCCAGGGGAGGACUGUCUUGGUUUGCACGCAAACCAGAAGUGCUCGGAAUGACCUGGGCAGGUGGGUUGGAUUCAAAAAAGAGCCCGCAGUCGGGAGGCAGCACUCUAUAUGGGAGGUAGAAAGGAAAGGGGAGGAUUUGUAUUUGCGUAUCGUGGCCGGAGAUUCUGUAAGUAAGAUGUUGAAGGUGGAUAAAAAUCUUUUAUUUGAACCUGGGCAUUACUGUGUCUGUGGUUUGAGGCUUAGUGGCACCCCCUUGUGGUUACACACAAUAACCAAAAUGGACUGAAGCUGAUACACUACCAUAUGUGUGUUCACAAUGGCUUGUGGGUAGUUUGAACACAUACAGCAUAGACUGUGGGACUGCAGUAUUGUUAACAUUGCACUGUAGUGAGAUUUCUUUGGAAAAGAGGGAGUGAAACCUGACGAAAUUCACUGAAGGAUGUUGGCGCAGUCUGAAAAGUGAAAACAACAUGACUCAAUAAAAAGUUUAUGAAUGGGUAGAAAGGUUUGAAGAGGGAAGAACAAGAAGCUGGAUCUGGUCAAACAUCAGCACCACGCACACAAGCUCACAUCAAGGUGGCGAAUGCCUUCAUUAGAGAAGAAGGACGCAUUGCGUUGCUGCACAUUUGGAUAUCAGCUGUGGUUCUUUAUAUGCCACAGUACAUGAUGACUUGGCUUGCAGUAAAGUUUGUGCAACAUGGGUACCCAAACAGCAGAAGCUGUCAUCCUUCUGUGAAUUUCAGCAGGUUUCAUUCCCCCUGUCCAAAGAAAUCUCACUACUGUACUUUAGUCUUCAAUGAUAAAAUCCCACACUGCAGCGUCCAUGUUCAUUUAACUUCAAAUGGACUACCAGCAGAGCAUUGCACUGUGUGGGUUAAAACUACCCAUAAGCCACUGCAAAUAUAUUGUAUUGAGUCAGCUUCUAUCCAUUGUCGGUACCAAAUAAUUGCCUUUAGUUUUUGAUUUAUUCUUGUACUUUCUGGUUUAAGGCAGGCAACUGUCAUACCCUGAAUGAAUUCUUUUUCAUACUCGACGAGAACAGAUACAUUAAUAAUGUUGUUUAUAUCAAAGUCAUCAUGUUUGAUAAGUAGAAAAAACCUUUGUAAAAACAUGUUCUUUCUUCCAGUUCAAGUGACUGUUAGUCAGCUCACUGCAUUACUGUGACAGCAGAAACUCUUAGUCAAGUAAAUCUCAACUAAAAGCCUGUGUGUGCUCUUACACUUAAACAUAUAAAGACCACAAAUAAAACAAUAAAGAACAAAGACUAGAUUUACAAAGUGGAAAAGCUGAGCAGUUAUUGACAAGCUAUUACAGGAUGUGGGGCUAUGGGGUCCACCUCGCAGCACUUCUGUGCCAAGCUGGGAUGACUUUUAUGUUCCUUCAAUUUCAAUAUGAACACUACAAAUACCCAACUAGUGUAAUACUUUAGGACAAUGCCUGUUUUGUGUAUCAAAUUAAUAGAUUUAUUCUUUUUAGUAUGUGAAAUCAACUUCAGAGAGUGCACUGUUGAAAACAAACCCCAAGUUACCAUGGAUAAGAAGGAAGCAUCGGCUGACCAUGUCAUUCUCUGUCAUGUAAUCUUAGUCUGAGACAGCAGUAAGGAGGACCAUCAUGGAUUUGGAGUCGGGAGAGGAGCUGGACGAGACAAAGGAAAGGAAUGGAUUAGUGUGCUGUCUUUAACUUACAGAAAGGAAUCUGCUGAAGGCAUUCUGUUAAUAAAAGUUAAGUGUCUUGAACCCAGGACUGUGUCACUGCUCACAGGCUUCCAUCAAGUAUUGCCAACGGGGGGAUGUAUACUUAACAAAAGACAUUUCAGUUUUACUACUUGAACACUUUUAUUUUAUAAUAAAAUGGUUUCACCACA
Polypterus senegalus (gray bichir) is the source of this 2173-nucleotide long non-coding RNA. RefSeq lists it as uncharacterized. Lineage: Eukaryota; Metazoa; Chordata; Cladistia; Polypteriformes; Polypteridae. The record is from RefSeq and is a predicted model, not a curated record. The transcript has 2 exons.